This 545-nucleotide ribosomal RNA is filed under the name Myxine formosana (Formosa hagfish). RNAcentral describes it as "partial 16S ribosomal RNA". It matches the Rfam family "Bacterial large subunit ribosomal RNA", at positions 1841 to 2617 of the family's 2925-position model. Lineage: Eukaryota; Metazoa; Chordata; Myxini; Myxiniformes; Myxinidae. The record is from RNAcentral.
AUAUAUAAUAAGUCCUACCUGCCCAGUGAUUUUUUUCAACGGCCAUCUUUGAUGAUAACGUAGCAUAAUCAAUUGUCUAUUAAUUGUAGACUAGAAUGAAUGGAUUAACGAAAGCCGAACUGUCUCCUAUUUCCUAUCAAUGAAAUUAACCUCCCUGUCCAAAGGCAGAGAUUGACCUAUAAGACGAAAAGACCCUAAAAGCUUCAAAUAUUAGAUUAAUCUUUCUUAAACAACAACUAAAGAAAAGUUUUAAUUCUUAAAAGUUUGGUUGGGGCAACCAUUGAUACUAAAAAAUCAUCAAUAAUUUAACUAAAAACCUAUAUAAUAUUAGAAUCACACUUCAACUGAAUAAGAAACUUAUAAAAAUGACCCAGAAAUCUGAUCAAUGAACAAGUUACUUUAGGGAUAACAGCGCUAUUUCUUUUUAAAGUCCCCAUCGACAAAGAAGCUUACGACCUCGAUGUUGGAUUAAGAUAAGUGGUGCAAAAGCUACUAAUGGUUCGUUUGUUCAACGAAUAAUAUCUUACGUGAUCUGAGUUCAAACC